Rhipicephalus microplus (southern cattle tick) is the source of this 965-nucleotide long non-coding RNA. RefSeq lists it as uncharacterized. The record is from RefSeq and is a predicted model, not a curated record. NCBI's taxonomy places the organism in Eukaryota, Metazoa, Arthropoda, Arachnida, Ixodida, Ixodidae.
UAUAGUAGAAACCAGUUAAUUUCAACUGGCUGACCAGCUAAAGACCAGUUCUUUUCAACUGGUUGAACCUAUGGAGUGCCAUGUACAAGUUUUGUGAAAUCGGCAAGUGAAAGUGGUAAAAAUUUUGUAACAUUUUUUUUAAAUCAUAAAACACCUUACUACAGUACUGCUGCACACUUUUCUUGCCACUUGACAUCUUUAUCAUGCGAGCAGCUGUCGCAGUUUAUUCAUAAAAGAACACAGUAAGAAAGCGGCUGAGCAAGCAUUGGUUUACUAUUAACAACCCUUCCAAAAACGCUGCAUUUGAAGCAAUAAAGUAAGGUCAAAUAAACUUUAGGAAUUAAUUUGUCAUUACAAAAUUUUGUAUUGUUUUUUGACCAAAGCAAUAGUCAUGUAAUAUAUACUUUCAUAAAGUACAUGCGCUCACAGUGCAAGCGCGGUGGCAAGUGCCAUCAGCAUCGUCAUCAGCAGCGCACCACCACAGCGAACACAAGUCAUAAGCUUUACUUGCGUGCUUUAUAUCCAGCGUCUUUGCAAUAAUCAUGUUGGCAUGAUCCAUUAAAUCCGCCUCAUUUAUUCAAAAUCAAGGCGAGUAUUUUGUGUUUGAACCACCUUAACUGCUGUAUUACUAGCACCUUUUGAACAUUUUGUUUGUUACCCUAACUAGUGUUAGCUCGCGACUGCAGCGGACACGGUGCACAGGCGCAGCAGGCAUGAAGUGUGGGAGCUACUAUACGCGCACAGCCUCCCUGCAUGAUUCCCGAUGCAACUCGGAAGAAAAACAACUGAGCACCAGCGACCUCCUUUCCAGAAGCUGCAGCAGAACAGGCGGCAUUUUGACUACAAAUGCCCUCACUAGCAGAAAUUGGGAGAUUUACUACAAAGCUCACUCUGCAUGAGACAUUUUCGCAGAACUAUUGUUGUCUAAUGAAGGCUCUUUGUGUUGAGCACCAGUUUGCCUUAAA